RNAcentral lists this ribosomal RNA (253 nucleotides) under uncultured microorganism. Its description in RNAcentral is "partial 16S ribosomal RNA". It matches the Rfam family "Bacterial small subunit ribosomal RNA", at positions 524 to 776 of the family's 1533-position model. The record is from RNAcentral.
UACGUAGGGUGCGAGCGUUAUUCGGAAUUACUGGGCGUAAAGCGUGCGCAGGCGGCCCGUUAAGACAGGUGUGAAAUCCCUGGGCUCAACCCAGGAAUUGCGCUUGUGACUGGCGGGCUGGAGUACGGUAGAGGGGGGUGGAAUUCCUGGUGUAGCAGUGAAAUGCGUAGAGAUCAGGAGGAACACCGAUGGCGAAGGCAGCCCCCUGGGCCUGUACUGACGCUCAUGCACGAAAGCGUGGGGAGCAAACAGG